Molecule: ribosomal RNA, 93 nt
Filed under: Pseudescherichia vulneris (CDC Enteric Group 1)
Lineage: Bacteria; Pseudomonadati; Pseudomonadota; Gammaproteobacteria; Enterobacterales; Enterobacteriaceae
Also listed under: 7 other names
Source: RNAcentral
CCCACCUGACCCCAUGCCGAACUCAGAAGUGAAACGCCGUAGCGCCGAUGGUAGUGUGGGGCCUCCCCAUGCGAGAGUAGGGAACUGCCAGGC